RNAcentral lists this ribosomal RNA (460 nucleotides) under uncultured bacterium. Its description in RNAcentral is "partial 16S ribosomal RNA". It matches the Rfam family "Bacterial small subunit ribosomal RNA", at positions 338 to 795 of the family's 1533-position model. The record is from RNAcentral.
CCUACGGGUGGCUGCAGUGAGGAAUAUUGGUCAAUGGACGAGAGUCUGAACCAGCCAAGUAGCGUGAAGGAUGACUGCCCUAUGGGUUGUAAACUUCUUUUAUAUGGGAAUAAAAUGUUCCACGUGUGGGAUUUUGUAUGUACCAUAUGAAUAAGGAUCGGCUAACUCCGUGCCAGCAGCCGCGGUAAUACGGAGGAUCCGAGCGUUAUCCGGAUUUAUUGGGUUUAAAGGGAGCGUAGGUGGAUUGUUAAGUCAGGUGUGAAAGUUUGCGGCUCAACCGUAAAAUUGCAGUUGAAAAUGGCAGUCUUGAGUACAGUAGAGGUGGGCGGAAUUCGUGGUGUAGCGGUGAAAUGCUUAGAUAUCACGAAGAACUCCGAUUGCGAAGGCAGUUCACUGGACUGCAACUGACACUGAGGCUCGAAAGUGUGGGUAUCAAACAGGAUUAGAUACCCGUGUAGUC